GUCUACGGCCAUGCCACCCUGAACAAGCCUGAUCCUAUCUGAUUUUGGAAGCUAAGCAGGGUUGGGCCUCGUUAGUACUUGGAUGGGAGACCAUCUAGGAAGACCAGGUGCUGUAGGCA
RNAcentral lists this ribosomal RNA (119 nucleotides) under Pteropus alecto (black flying fox). The record is from RNAcentral. Lineage: Eukaryota; Metazoa; Chordata; Mammalia; Chiroptera; Pteropodidae. RNAcentral also lists the same sequence under 1 other name.